This 221-nucleotide ribosomal RNA is filed under the name uncultured Anaerolineaceae bacterium. RNAcentral describes it as "partial 16S ribosomal RNA". It matches the Rfam family "Bacterial small subunit ribosomal RNA", at positions 1162 to 1382 of the family's 1533-position model. The record is from RNAcentral. Lineage: Bacteria; Bacillati; Chloroflexota; Anaerolineae; Anaerolineales; Anaerolineaceae.
GCCGGAGGAAGGUGAGGAUGAUGUCAAGUCAGCAUGACCUUUAUAUCCAGGGCUACACACACGCUACAAUGGUCUGUACAAUGGGUAGCCAAGCCGCGAGGCGGAGCCAAUCCUGAAAGCAGGCCUCAGUUCAGAUUGCAGUCUGCAACUCGACUGCAUGAAGCCGGAGUUGCUAGUAACCGCAGGUCAGCAAUACUGCGGUGAAUACGUUCCCGGGUCUU